RNAcentral lists this unclassified non-coding RNA (255 nucleotides) under Centaurea horrida. RNAcentral's name for it is "partial internal transcribed species 1". The record is from RNAcentral. Lineage: Eukaryota; Viridiplantae; Streptophyta; Magnoliopsida; Asterales; Asteraceae.
UCGAAGCCUGCACAGCAGAACGACCCGUGAACAUGUAAUCACAACCGGGUGUCGUGGGGUCGGGUGCGAGCCUUAGCCCUGCGAUGCUCGUCGGCAUGCGUUCAAGUUGCCUAUCUCUAGGCAUCGUGGACGCUCUGUCGGCACAAAAACAAAACCCCGGCACGGCAUGUGCCAAGGAAAACAAAACUCAAGAAGGAUGCGUCUCGUGUUGCCCCGUUUUCGGUGUGCAUGCGGGUCGUGUCCUCUCAUUAACCA